GGUUAAGCGACUAAGCGUACACGGUGGAUGCCCUGGCAGUCAGAGGCGAUGAAGGACGUGCUAAUCUGCGAUAAGCGUCGGUAAGGUGAUAUGAACCGUUAUAACCGGCGAUUUCCGAAUGGGGAAACCCAGUGUGUUUCGACACACUAUCAUUAACUGAAUCCAUAGGUUAAUGAGGCGAACCGGGGGAACUGAAACAUCUAAGUACCCCGAGGAAAAGAAAUCAACCGAGAUUCCCCCAGUAGCGGCGAGCGAACGGGGAGCAGCCCAGAGCCUGAAUCAGUGUGUGUGUUAGUGGAAGCGUCUGGAAAGGCGCGCGAUACAGGGUGACAGCCCCGUACACAAAAAUGCACAUGCUGUGAGCUCGAUGAGUAGGGCGGGACACGUGGUAUCCUGUCUGAAUAUGGGGGGGACCAUCCUCCAAGGCUAAAUACUCCUGACUGACCGAUAGUGAACCAGUACCGUGAGGGAAAGGCGAAAAGAACCCCGGCGAGGGGAGUGAAAAAGAACCUGAAACCGUGUACGUACAAGCAGUGGGAGCACGCUUAGGCGUGUGACUGCGUACCUUUUGUAUAAUGGGUCAGCGACUUAUAUUCUGUAGCAAGGUUAACCGAAUAGGGGAGCCGAAGGGAAACCGAGUCUUAACUGGGCGUUAAGUUGCAGGGUAUAGACCCGAAACCCGGUGAUCUAGCCAUGGGCAGGUUGAAGGUUGGGUAACACUAACUGGAGGACCGAACCGACUAAUGUUGAAAAAUUAGCGGAUGACUUGUGGCUGGGGGUGAAAGGCCAAUCAAACCGGGAGAUAGCUGGUUCUCCCCGAAAGCUAUUUAGGUAGCGCCUCGUGAACUCAUCUCCGGGGGUAGAGCACUGUUUCGGCAAGGGGGUCAUCCCGACUUACCAACCCGAUGCAAACUGCGAAUACCGGAGAAUGUUAUCACGGGAGACACACGGCGGGUGCUAACGUCCGUCGUGAAGAGGGAAACAACCCAGACCGCCAGCUAAGGUCCCAAAGUCAUGGUUAAGUGGGAAACGAUGUGGGAAGGCCCAGACAGCCAGGAUGUUGGCUUAGAAGCAGCCAUCAUUUAAAGAAAGCGUAAUAGCUCACUGGUCGAGUCGGCCUGCGCGGAAGAUGUAACGGGGCUAAACCAUGCACCGAAGCUGCGGCAGCGACGCUUAUGCGUUGUUGGGUAGGGGAGCGUUCUGUAAGCCUGUGAAGGUGUGCUGUGAGGCAUGCUGGAGGUAUCAGAAGUGCGAAUGCUGACAUAAGUAACGAUAAAGCGGGUGAAAAGCCCGCUCGCCGGAAGACCAAGGGUUCCUGUCCAACGUUAAUCGGGGCAGGGUGAGUCGACCCCUAAGGCGAGGCCGAAAGGCGUAGUCGAUGGGAAACAGGUUAAUAUUCCUGUACUUGGUGUUACUGCGAAGGGGGGACGGAGAAGGCUAUGUUGGCCGGGCGACGGUUGUCCCGGUUUAAGCGUGUAGGCUGGUUUUCCAGGCAAAUCCGGAAAAUCAAGGCUGAGGCGUGAUGACGAGGCACUACGGUGCUGAAGCAACAAAUGCCCUGCUUCCAGGAAAAGCCUCUAAGCAUCAGGUAACAUCAAAUCGUACCCCAAACCGACACAGGUGGUCAGGUAGAGAAUACCAAGGCGCUUGAGAGAACUCGGGUGAAGGAACUAGGCAAAAUGGUGCCGUAACUUCGGGAGAAGGCACGCUGAUAUGUAGGUGAAGCGACUUGCUCGUGGAGCUGAAAUCAGUCGAAGAUACCAGCUGGCUGCAACUGUUUAUUAAAAACACAGCACUGUGCAAACACGAAAGUGGACGUAUACGGUGUGACGCCUGCCCGGUGCCGGAAGGUUAAUUGAUGGGGUUAGCGCAAGCGAAGCUCUUGAUCGAAGCCCCGGUAAACGGCGGCCGUAACUAUAACGGUCCUAAGGUAGCGAAAUUCCUUGUCGGGUAAGUUCCGACCUGCACGAAUGGCGUAAUGAUGGCCAGGCUGUCUCCACCCGAGACUCAGUGAAAUUGAACUCGCUGUGAAGAUGCAGUGUACCCGCGGCAAGACGGAAAGACCCCGUGAACCUUUACUAUAGCUUGACACUGAACAUUGAGCCUUGAUGUGUAGGAUAGGUGGGAGGCUUUGAAGUGUGGACGCCAGUCUGCAUGGAGCCGACCUUGAAAUACCACCCUUUAAUGUUUGAUGUUCUAACGUUGACCCGUAAUCCGGGUUGCGGACAGUGUCUGGUGGGUAGUUUGACUGGGGCGGUCUCCUCCUAAAGAGUAACGGAGGAGCACGAAGGUUGGCUAAUCCUGGUCGGACAUCAGGAGGUUAGUGCAAUGGCAUAAGCCAGCUUGACUGCGAGCGUGACGGCGCGAGCAGGUGCGAAAGCAGGUCAUAGUGAUCCGGUGGUUCUGAAUGGAAGGGCCAUCGCUCAACGGAUAAAAGGUACUCCGGGGAUAACAGGCUGAUACCGCCCAAGAGUUCAUAUCGACGGCGGUGUUUGGCACCUCGAUGUCGGCUCAUCACAUCCUGGGGCUGAAGUAGGUCCCAAGGGUAUGGCUGUUCGCCAUUUAAAGUGGUACGCGAGCUGGGUUUAGAACGUCGUGAGACAGUUCGGUCCCUAUCUGCCGUGGGCGCUGGAGAACUGAGGGGGGCUGCUCCUAGUACGAGAGGACCGGAGUGGACGCAUCACUGGUGUUCGGGUUGUCAUGCCAAUGGCACUGCCCGGUAGCUAAAUGCGGAAGAGAUAAGUGCUGAAAGCAUCUAAGCACGAAACUUGCCCCGAGAUGAGUUCUCCCUGACCCUUUAAGGGUCCUGAAGGAACGUUGAAGACGACGACGUUGAUAGGCCGGGUGUGUAAGCGCAGCGAUGCGUUGAGCUAACCGGUACUAAUGAACCGUGAGGCUUAACCUU
This 2905-nucleotide ribosomal RNA is filed under the name Shigella flexneri. RNAcentral describes it as "23S ribosomal RNA". It matches the Rfam family "Bacterial large subunit ribosomal RNA". Lineage: Bacteria; Pseudomonadati; Pseudomonadota; Gammaproteobacteria; Enterobacterales; Enterobacteriaceae. The record is from RNAcentral.